Molecule: ribosomal RNA, 274 nt
Filed under: uncultured bacterium
Lineage: Bacteria
Description: partial 16S ribosomal RNA
Rfam family: Bacterial small subunit ribosomal RNA
Source: RNAcentral
AGACAGAGGUGGCAAGCGUUGUUCGGAUUUACUGGGCUUAAAGGGCGUGUAGGCGUCCCGAUCAGUCAGAUGUGGAAGCUCUGGGCUCAACCCAGGAAUUGCAUUUGAUACUGUCGGGAUUGAGUCGUGCAUGGGAGGGCGGAAUUCCUGGUGUAGCGGUGAAAUGCGUAGAUAUCAGGAGGAAGGCCGGUGGCGAAGGUGGCCCUCUGGGCAAUGACUGACGCUGAGGCGCGAAAGCGUGGGGAGCAAACAGGAUUAGAAACCCGAGUAGUCC